Molecule: small nuclear RNA, 137 nt
Filed under: Apis florea (little honeybee)
Lineage: Eukaryota; Metazoa; Arthropoda; Insecta; Hymenoptera; Apidae
Description: uncharacterized LOC116414343
Rfam family: U4 spliceosomal RNA
About the family: U4 small nuclear RNA (U4 snRNA) is a component of the major U2-dependent spliceosome. The structure of U4 snRNA from yeast and human has been reported. U4 snRNA presents a k-turn RNA motif in the 5p-SL related to recognition of Snu13 protein.
Source: RNAcentral
UCGUUCAAUUUUUGGCGAUAUCGUAACCAAUGAGGUUCUACCGAGGUGCGAUUUUUGCUAGUUGAAAACUUUUACCAAUACCCCGCCAUGACGAUGUGAAAAAUCAUCGGCUACGGCAAUUUUUGAUCAUUAAGGCG